GCACAAGCGGUGGAGUGAUGUGGAUUAAUUCGAUGCAACGACGAAAACCUUACCUACCCUUGACAUGUCAGGAAGUCCGCUGAGAGGUGGAUGUGCUCGAAAGAGAACCUGAACACAGGUGCUGCAUGGCUGUCGUCAGCUCGUGUCGUGAGAUGUUGGGUUAAGUCCCGCAACGAGCGCAACCCUUGUCAUUAAUUGCCAUCAUUCAGUUGGGCACUUUAAUGAGACUGCCGGUGACAAACCGGAGGAAGGUGGGGAUGACGUCAAGUCCUCAUGGCCCUUAUGGGUAGGGCUUCACACGUCAUACAAUGGUCGGUACAGAGGGUUGCCAACCCGCGAGGGGGAGCCAAUCCCACAAAGCCGAUCGUAGUCCGGAUCGCAGUCUGCAACUCGACUGCGUGAAGUCGGAAUCGCUAGUAAUCGUGGAUCAGCAUGUCACGGUGAAUACGUUCCCGGGUCUU
Molecule: ribosomal RNA, 461 nt
Filed under: uncultured Rhodocyclaceae bacterium
Lineage: Bacteria; Pseudomonadati; Pseudomonadota; Betaproteobacteria; Rhodocyclales; Rhodocyclaceae
Description: bacterial SSU rRNA
Rfam family: Bacterial small subunit ribosomal RNA
Source: RNAcentral